RNAcentral lists this ribosomal RNA (340 nucleotides) under uncultured Nitrospirota bacterium. RNAcentral's name for it is "bacterial SSU rRNA". It matches the Rfam family "Bacterial small subunit ribosomal RNA", at positions 28 to 351 of the family's 1533-position model. The record is from RNAcentral. Lineage: Bacteria; Pseudomonadati; Nitrospirota.
GACGAACGCUGGCGGCGUGCCUAACACAUGCAAGUCGAGCGAGAAAGUCCCCGCAAGGGGAUGAGUAAAGCGGCGAACGGGUGAGUAACACGUGGGCAACCUGCCCUUCAGACAGGAAUAACCCCGCGAAAGCGGGGCUAAUACCAGAUGAAGUCCCUUGGGGGCAUCUUCGGGGGACCAAAGGGGGCGAGCGCAAGCGGCUCCCGCUGAUGGAUGGGCCUGCGGCUGAUUAGCUAGUUGGUGGGGUAAUGGCCUACCAAGGCAACGAUCAGUAGCCGACCUGAGAGGGUGACCGGCCACACUGGGACUGAGACACGGCCCAGACUCCUACGGGAGGCUG